AAACGACUCUCGGCAACGGAUAUCUCGGCUCACGCAUCGAUGAAGAACGUAGCAAAAUGCGAUACUUGGUGUGAAUUGCAGAAUCCCGUGAACCAUCGAGUUUUUGAACGCAAGUUGCGCCCGAAGCCUUUUGGCCGAGGGCACGUCUGCCUGGGCGUCACGCA
Molecule: ribosomal RNA, 164 nt
Filed under: Leucanthemella linearis
Lineage: Eukaryota; Viridiplantae; Streptophyta; Magnoliopsida; Asterales; Asteraceae
Description: 5.8S ribosomal RNA
Rfam family: 5.8S ribosomal RNA
About the family: 5.8S ribosomal RNA (5.8S rRNA) is a component of the large subunit of the eukaryotic ribosome. It is transcribed by RNA polymerase I as part of the 45S precursor that also contains 18S and 28S rRNA.
Source: RNAcentral